RNAcentral lists this ribosomal RNA (391 nucleotides) under uncultured bacterium. RNAcentral describes it as "partial 16S ribosomal RNA". It matches the Rfam family "Bacterial small subunit ribosomal RNA", at positions 523 to 918 of the family's 1533-position model. The record is from RNAcentral.
AUACGGAGGAUCCGAGCGUUAUCCGGAUUUAUUGGGUUUAAAGGGUGCGCAGGCGGCCAUUUAAGUCAGCGGUUAAAUCGUGGGGCUAAACCCAUUUCGCCGGUUGUAACGGGGUGCUUUGAUGCGGGCCAGGGUGGCGGGAUUUGGUGUGGAGCGGGGGAAUGCAUAGAUAUGACGAAGAACACCGAUUGCGUAGGCAGCUGACCAGACCGCAAAUGACGCUCAUGCACGAAAGUGCGGGGAUCGAACAGGAUUAGAUACCCUGGUAGUCCGCACAGUAAACGAUGAAUACUCGCUGUUUGCGAUAUACAGCAAGCGGCCAAGCGAAAGCGUUAAGUAUUCCACCUGGGGAGUACGCCGGCAACGGUGAAACUCAAAUGAAUUGACGGGG